Molecule: long non-coding RNA, 1784 nt
Filed under: Mustela putorius furo (domestic ferret)
Lineage: Eukaryota; Metazoa; Chordata; Mammalia; Carnivora; Mustelidae
Description: lncRNA (ENSMPUG00000028204.1)
Source: RNAcentral
CGGGGGGUAGGGGAAGAAUUCUAGCUGGGCUAUUUAACAGCUCUGGACUCAAGGCAAGUCGCUCAACAUGGAAGCCUUUGUUUUCUCAUUUACAAAAUGGGACUGUUCUGUCCUCCCAAGCUGAAGAUGAAGUGAUUGUGAGAACCCUCUGUAAACUGUGAGACACGGAAUAAACGUGAGCCGUGAUCACCAAAUGCUUCCCCUUUCUUUGGUGUCUCCUAGGUGCACAGAUGGAGAAGAAACGAACCACCGCCAAGUUCAACCACAAAGCAGGCUUGUUAAGUCCCAGAAUCUGUGGAAAGGAGAUCCUCACUCACAGAGGGCCCCUGAAGGCAUCUGACUUCAUUAAAUUGCAAAGGGCAUAUCUGAUUCAAUUCUUAAGCACUCCCAGCCGCACUGAGAGGGCAGCUUCUUUACUGCUACAAGGCCUGAACAUCUUGGGCUCUGCAGAGGGAGAACCCGGAAUGAAACCGCCACUCGCCUGGAGCUCAAAGUUCGGAGGAAGAGAGAGCAAAUAUUUUCAGUGCAAGUGCAUGUGAAUGCUGUAAGUAUCUACCUCGGGGGUGGUAGGAAGGCGAAAAGGGGAAAAUGUGCCUUCAUCCCUAGUUGACCGGGAAGGAAGGGAUGGUACUUGACAGAGUCUUGUGACCGCCCAGACCACAAUGGACAGGAUGAGGAGGCGCCGGCUCUGGUGGUGGCGUUAAACAAGCUGGGGGAGGGAGACCACCUUGUAUGAGCGCACAGGCAUCAGGGUGAUGCACUCUAUCUGAAGAACUGCAUGGUGUGGAAGAGCCAUGUGCACCGGCAAGGAGGGGAGGCCAAGGGCAAGACACAGAAGCCCCUGCAGCCCCCGCCCCCAAGGAGACUUCAGGAUGGGAUUACGCAGGGACAGCUGGAAGGAAUAUCUAACCCGGAAGGAAUAUCUAAACAGUCUUUCUGCAGAAAAGAGAAACACCGGGCCCUUGGAAUUACAUUUGGAACACACCUUUACCUACACACAAUUUAAAGGCCCAAAGUCUCUUCUCUGUGGUUAUGGCUGGAUGAUUUCCAAAGUGAGACAUGUUCCAAGUAAGUGAAAAUAAUUGUUAGAAAUUGGUCUGAUGACCUUGAUCACAGUUUCGUCAUCAGGUACAAUGUCUACCGUGAAGGGCAAACUGAUGACAGCACACCCGUGUCCUUAGAAACAGGCACCAGGUCCUGCUGGGAAGAAUUAGCACUGAGGCAUCUAAGUCAGGGCUUUCCAAACUUGUCAGUGCCCCAGUAACAAGGAGGCUUGUUAAAGCACAGAGCCCAGGGCACCAUCCCCAGGGACUCUGAUUUACUAGGUGGAAUGUGCAUCUCUAACAGGUUCCCAGGAUCUGCAGAUACUCCCAGCGGGGGGCUCACAUCCUGAAUCCUAAGGGACCCCAGGGCCACACAGCACUUUAGUCCCAGAGACAGGAGGAAUGCACCCACAUCCUUGACACCAAACCCUUCUCUAAAAGCGACUAAAAAGCUUUUUAUAUUAAGUAUCUUGGAUGUCUCCAUCCUGCUAAAUUGAGAACCAAAAGUAAUUGAAGUUUCAAUAAUUCAUCAACAUCUUAGAAGCCAAAAUAGGAAAUUUCCCUCAGAGCGAAUUGCAUUCAACAGUGUAACAGCUAAAAGUGCCUCACGCUCUCCUGUGGCUUCCAGUAACGGGGGGUUAAUGGGAACACGAGUCAUCCUCAUCGCACACCAGACACAGGGCAGACCGCAGAAUAGUUUAAAGACCAGAAAAACACAUGCUUGUUAAAGCCAAAGGGCAU